Molecule: small RNA, 2621 nt
Filed under: Pongo abelii (Sumatran orangutan)
Lineage: Eukaryota; Metazoa; Chordata; Mammalia; Primates; Hominidae
Description: processed transcript
Source: RNAcentral
GCUAGGCUGGUUCAGCCGGACCGGGUAGGGGUCCUCGCUCGCUAGCUCGCUGUUUCUCGGAGAAGCCCCCGAGUGUCCGGCCUAGAGGCCAUGAGAAGGCAGUGGGGGUCUGCCAUGAGGGCGGCCGAGCAGGCGGGCUGCGUAGAGUGUGGCCAUCUGGGGCUGUGUGGUAUUUGCCACUCAGGAGACAUGUCCCUAUGACAUAGCAGUGGUGAGCCUGGAGGAGGACCUGGAUGAUGUCCCCAUCCCUGUGCCCGCUGAGCACUUCCACGAAGGCGAGGCUGUGAGUGUGGUGGGCUUUGGCAUCUUUGGCCAGGCUUGCGGGCCCUCGGUGACCUCAGGCAUCCUUUCGGCUGUGGUGCAGGUGAAUGGCACGCCCGUAAUGCUGCAGACCACGUGUGCUGUGCACAGCGGCUCCAGUGGGGGACCCCUCUUCUCCAACCACUCAGGAAACCUCCUUGGCAUAAUCACCAGCAACACCCGGGACAAUAACACGGGGGCCACCUACCCCCACCUGAACUUCAGCAUUCCCAUCACGGUGCUCCAGCCGGCCCUGCAGCAGUACAGCCAGACCCACGACCUGGGUGGCCUCCGUGAGCUGGACCGUGCUGCUGAGCCUGUCAGGGUGGUGUGGCGGCUGCAGCGGCCCCUGGCAGAGGCCCCGAGGAGCAAGCUCUGAGGCUGUGUUACCACCUUUGGAAAGAAGAGUGACCUUUUUCUGCUGUAGGAAGUGAUGUUGAGGUGAUGGUGGCCUCAGGAUUCAGGGCCCAGCCCCUGCAGGGGCCCGGGCUACCUCUCAUCUCCACCCAGUGACUGCAGUCUGGGCUUUGGGCUCUGGGGCAAACUUCUCUUCAGCCCCAUGGAUCCUUAACCUGGCAGCCCGUUUUGGGGUGCUUUCUUGAGCCCCCAGUUCUCUGUCCCCUAGCACUAGACUCAGCUGUAUUGUUUUUCCUUCUGGGGAGCCCACUCCAACUGCACAGAAGUUCUGGGCCUGACAGGUAGAUGCCAGCUGGAAGGCAGGCCCAUGCCUGGUUUUGUGUCUGUUCCCCUGAGGGCCAUUGUCAUCCUGGAGCUUCAAUGGGGCCUUGGCUCCUGUCUGCCUCUCAGUCAGAGUCAGGGCUGACAGAGGACUCAGCUUCCUUAGCAUCUCAUCAGAAACCUUGCUGUGAAGACCAGAGACAGAAGGGACAGAAACAGGAGUGCCUCCUGCUGUGCCAGGCCCGUGGGCAGUGCAGGCAGAUCCCUGAAGGUCAGCACUCCUGGGUCUUCAUAAGCCAACAGGGGCGCUCUUGACACUGUGCCUUUGUUUUCCAGCCCACAGCCUGGGUCUCAGGGAUCUUGAGGGGUAGAACAUGUCUGGUUGGGGCUUGGGAAUAAACCUGAUCUAUUGAAAAACCUCUGUAUUUAUAUAUCAAAUUGUUGCUUUUUUUCAGGAGUUGAACUGGGAAUAGGCGAGUACCAGGCAAAGAAACACACCCUUUCCUUUUUUUUUUUUUUUUUUUUUAGAGCUGUGGUCUUGCUCUCUCACCCAGGCUGGAGUGCAGUGUUGCGAUCAUGGCUCACUGCAGCCUCAAACUCCUGGGCUCCAGGAGACCUCCUGCCUCAGCCUCCUGAAUAGCUGGGACUACAGUCGCGCACCACCACGCCUGGCUAAUUUUUUAUUUUUGUAGAAUGGAGGUAUUGCUUUGUUGCCCGUGCUGGCUUCAGCCUUCUGGUUUCAAGCAGUCCUCCUGCCUCAGCUUCCCAAAGUGCUGGGAUUACAGGUGUGAGCCACUGUGCCCAACCCAGAAAUACACCGUUUCUGUGCUGUUUUCUCAGCAGGGUGUGAGCUCAUGGGAUACGGUCCUGCCAGACUGGCCCUCAUAGCUGUUCAUGUGCCAGUCAGAGCUGGGUGGGGCUUGCAGGUCCCGGAAGGUGGUGGUCUUGACCUGGCAGCAGGUGCUUAAAGAAUGCCUAAGGUGGGUGUCAGCUGGGGAGUUCAAGGGUGAAUGAGGCCAGGGCAACCCCCGGGAGCUGAGGCCAACUCUUUGAGUCAGGACUGUGCCGUGUGCCCAGGGCCCUGCAUGUGUGGGCCCUCGAGUGAUUUCUACUGGCAGGCUGAAAGCCCUGUGAGGGGCGGCUGUGGGCGGAGGCCACGCAGGAAGAGUGCUUAGGAGUAACUUGUUUCUAACACCUGUGUGCUGAGUGCCAGUGCUGGGUGUGGUGUUAUGAUAUAUAUUGGUUUUCAUCCAGCAUUCCUGACUCGUAACGCUCAUAGUCCUUGUUCCAGUCUUUGUUAGAAUGUUGGGUAUGUUAGGGCUCAGGGGGCAGGCCUCUGACCUCUGGGUAUCCUUUCACUAACGUUCGCCCACCUUUUUGACAGUGGGUCCUAAAGACCUUCCCAUGAGAGGGUCUCAAUCCUGGGGGAAGGAAUGCUGAUGUCAUGAAGCUUCCAUAAAAACCCAAGAGGACAGGGUUCAGAGAGCUUCUGGAUAGCUGAACACCUGGCGCUUCCUGGCAUGUGGCGUGCCCAGGGAGGGCACGGAAGCUCUGCACUCCUUCCCCUUUCCUCAUUCCUUGCUCUAUGUGCGUCUCUUCAUCUGUAUCCUUUGCGAUAUCCUUUAUAAUAAACCAGUAAACAU